Molecule: ribosomal RNA, 253 nt
Filed under: uncultured bacterium
Lineage: Bacteria
Description: partial 16S ribosomal RNA
Rfam family: Bacterial small subunit ribosomal RNA
Source: RNAcentral
UACGAAGGGGACUAGCGUUGUUCGGAAUCACUGGGCGUAAAGCGCACGUAGGCGGAUGUGUCAGUCAGGGGUGAAAUCCCGGGGCUCAACCUCGGAACUGCCUUUGAUACAGCACGUCUCGAGUCCGGAAGAGGUGGGUGGAACUCCGAGUGUAGAGGUGAAAUUCGUAGAUAUUCGGAAGAACACCAGUGGCGAAGGCGGCUCACUGGCCCGGUACUGACGCUGAGGUGCGAAAGCGUGGGGAGCAAACAGG